GAAAGUAUUGCUCAUUGGUAGAGCAUGUGCUUACCACGCAUGAAGUCCUGGGUUCAAUCCCCAGUACCUCCA
RNAcentral lists this transfer RNA (72 nucleotides) under Camelus bactrianus (Bactrian camel). It matches the Rfam family "tRNA". From Rfam's summary of the family: Transfer RNA (tRNA) molecules are approximately 80 nucleotides in length. Their secondary structure includes four short double-helical elements and three loops (D, anti-codon, and T loops). Lineage: Eukaryota; Metazoa; Chordata; Mammalia; Artiodactyla; Camelidae. The record is from Rfam by way of RNAcentral. RNAcentral also lists the same sequence under 1 other name.